Molecule: ribosomal RNA, 253 nt
Filed under: uncultured bacterium
Lineage: Bacteria
Description: partial 16S ribosomal RNA
Rfam family: Bacterial small subunit ribosomal RNA
Source: RNAcentral
GACAGAGGUGCCAAGCGUUAGGCGGAAUCACUGGGCUUAAAGCGUGUGUAGGCGGGUCGUUAAGUACCUUGUGAAAUCCCACGGCUCAACCGUGGAACUGCUCGGUAUACUGGCGAUCUUGGGCCACUUAGGGGCUAGCGGAACAAACGGUGGAGCGGUGAAAUGCGUAGAUAUCAGGAGGAACACCAAUUGCGAAGGCAGCUCGCUGGGACGUUACUGACGCUGAGACGCGAAAGCGUGGGGAGCAAACAGG